This 341-nucleotide unclassified non-coding RNA is filed under the name soil metagenome. RNAcentral's name for it is "partial contains 5.8S ribosomal RNA, internal transcribed spacer 2, and large subunit ribosomal RNA". The stretch from base 1 to 120 matches the Rfam family "5.8S ribosomal RNA", at positions 35 to 154 of the family's 154-position model. The record is from RNAcentral.
GAUUAAGAACGCAGCGAAAUGCGAUAAGUAGUGUGAAUUGCAGAAUUCAGUGAAUCAUCGAAUCUUUGAACGCACAUUGCGCCCUUUGGUAUUCCAAAGGGCAUGCCUGUUCGAGCGUCAUUUGUACCCUCAAGCUUUGCUUGGUGUUGGGCGUCUUGUCUCUAGCUUUGCUGGAGACUCGCCUUAAAGUAAUUGGCAGCCGGCCUACUGGUUUCGGAGCGCAGCACAAGUCGCACUCUCUAUCAGCAAAGGUCUAGCAUCCAUUAAGCCUUUUUUUCAACUUUUGACCUCGGAUCAGGUAGGGAUACCCGCUGAACUUAAGCAUAUCAAUAAGCGGAGGA